Molecule: long non-coding RNA, 3671 nt
Organism: Neofelis nebulosa (Clouded leopard)
Lineage: Eukaryota; Metazoa; Chordata; Mammalia; Carnivora; Felidae
Exons: 3
Source: RefSeq, a predicted model, not a curated record
CCUCCGCGCGCAGGCGCGCUACCGUCGCGCGCACCGGCUGACGUGGCGGCGGGUGCAGUAUGUGCGCGCCGGUUCCUCCUCCGGCCUCCGCCGGGAAACGUUAGGGAGGAGGUUUUCAGACCGCUCGCCCCUCACUCCUCGAGCGCGAAACGGGAGCAUCUACCUAUCUACGUGAGGCUCUCAAUCUACUUAAGCCCCGGCAUGCAAAUACUAAAGAAGAAACAAUAAUGCUCUUCUCCCAAAGCUCCUAAUUGCACUGGUCUUGAACCUCCCGCUGUACUGAAGUUCAUUUGUGCCUUUCUGAGAUAUGGGACGCCCCCAGCCAAAAACCAGCUAGUGCACGGAGGCCUCCCUCCCACGACUGCAAGGAACUGAAUUCCAUCAACAACUUGGAUGAGCUUGGAGGGAAAUUCUUCUGCAGAGCCUCCAGAGAGGAAUACAGCCUUGCCAUCCCAGGACUUCAGCCUGACAAGGGCCUGAGCAGAGGCCCAGUCAUUACAUGCUUGGACCUCUGGUCUAUAGAACUGCACGGUGAUAAAUGGGUGUUGUGUGAAGCCAGUAAGUUUGUGGCAACUUGUUACACAACAAUAGAAAACUAAUACAGAGACCUUAACAAAUUUUCUCCAUAUUAACUUCUAGAAAAAGAAGAAAGAAACACAAAUGGAGUCUAACAUUCUAAAGUGACUUUGCUUUGCAUGAAAUGAAAACAAAGGUACAGCUCAGUAGAAGAAAAGGGCAAGACUGUGUAAGGUUUAACUUUACAAAUUCAGACUGUCCAAGCAAAAGCCCUUUAGAAGGAAUCUGAGACUAUGAACGUGUUACAGUACUCUACACUGGUGUUUUUAGAACUAGGGGUUAAGUUUCAUUUCCUAGGGAAUUUAGAAUUAUAAAUACACCUCAGUUCAUCCAAUAAGCAUGCCAGAUUUGGAGCCAGUUGGCUUCAUUUGGAGCCAAAUGGCUCCCAGCUUUGCCAUUUAUUAGCACUAUGAUAUUGGGCAAGUAAUCUCUCUGAGCUUCCAUUUUCUCACCUGUGAAAUAUGCAUGAGUCGGGCAAGGUUUGAAGGAGAUACGACCCCGAGCACCCUUCACACUGUCCUUGAUACAAGCUCUCAAGAAGUCUUUUUCAUACAUGGACAUGUAAGAGAGACCAAAUAAUCAAUGCAUGAAAUAUUCACAGCCUCUUUCUGCCCUCUCAACUGCUAACAUCAUCUACCGACUAGUGGGCAUUUCCCCCUGUGUUCCUCCCCUUUUUUCCCACUUAUACCUUCUUAAAUACAUAAGGUAAUCAGUUGGGAGGACAGCUGGAAAAGUCAGGUGGGAGAAUCAAGUAGGAAAGGGCUGAGAUGAGAGAGAAAAAUAGAGGGGUAGGGGAAAAAGGCUAACGGGGAAGAAAAGGAAAGAGGAGAGAGGAGAUAACAACAAGAAGAGCUUUUUGUAAGAGGAGGAGGGAGAUUUCAGAACCCGUGCCACUGAAUGGGAGUGAUGGUUCACAAAAACCCGGAGGGAGUCCACACCAAUGUGAACAAACGAUUGGAUAAGUAAAUAAAUGGGAGAGAAUAGACACAUUUCCCAGGAAGAAGAAUUCAAAUAGUUUGUGUAGACGCUUUGCCUUGGAGGAGGUGCAGCAUAACUCCCCACUCCUUCAGCGUGGGCCGUGCACAGUGACUGGUAGCCAAAGCAGAAAGCAUAGAAAGGAGGAAGGAGAGUAACUUUACAGGAGAGAAACCUGGCAAACACUGCCUCAGCCAGGUGAUGAAGGUUAAUACCUCCAUGUACCCUUGAUAUGAUGUGAUGACAGGAGCACUUCUGUGGUCUUCCUCCCCACAACGCAUGAACCAGUCUAAUCAUGAGCAAAACCAUCAGACAAAAACAAAUUGAAGGGCGGUCCAUGGAAGUCCUGGCCAGCAUACUUCAAAACUGCCAGGAUCAUCAAAAGCAAGGGAGGUCUGAGAAACUGUCACAGCCAAAAGGAGCCUAAGGAAACAUGUUGACUAAAUAUAGUGUCAUCCUAAAUAGGAUCCUGGAACAGAACCCAGAAAAUAAGUAAAAAGCUAAGGAAAAAAAAUAUGGACUUUAGUUACUAAUGUGUCAGUAUUGGUUCAUUAGUUGUGACAAACGUAUCUUACUGAUGUAAGAUGUUAACAAAAGAGGAAAAUGGUUGGGGUGUAUGGUAGGUAACUUUAGAUACUAUCUUUGUAACUUUUCUGUAAAUCUAAGACUAUUCUAAAAUAAGAUAUUUAUCCCAGACUUUGGCACCAAAAAAAUAAAAAAAAAUUUAAAAUGAUAAAAGAAAAAUAAAAUAUCUAUUUAUAAAAUAGGGGAAAGGGAUUUUAAGACAUAUCACUGUAGGUAAUAAAUUAUAUCAUCUUUAAUAUUCUUUGAAAAAUGCAAAUACAGGGGCACCUGGGUGGCUCAGUCGGUUGAGCGUCCGACUUCGGCUCAGAUCAUGAUCUUACGGCUGGUGAGUUCGAGCCCCGCGUCGAGCUCUGUGCUGACAGCUCAGAGCCUAGAGCCUGCUUCGGAUUCUGUGCCUCCCUCUCACUCUGCCCUAACCCACUCGCAUUCUGUCUCUGUCUCAAAAAUAAAUAAACAUUUUUAAAAAUUUAAAAAAAAAGAAAAAUGCAAAUACAGAUCAGAAUUUAUCUCAUUUACAUUUUCAUGCUGAUCUGUUUCUUUUAAUACAACACAGUUUGAAAGCUAGGCUUUUUGGGGCCUGGGAUCUACUCAGGUUCCAAUAUCAGCACCCUAAAACUAUGGAUGGAGAACAUAAGAAGGAUGACUUUCCCUUGGGAAUGUUCUGAAAGCCUCACAUAAUCUGGAAGCCAGUUAACCAUCAGCAAAGAGUGUCAAGGCAUUUGACUAAAGCCCCUUUCAGAGGUGACUUCUUGGGCCCCAAGCAAGCCUGGAAUCCCUGAAAAGAGCUGACAUCCCGACAUAUGCCUAACCUCUUAUUAAAUACAAGUAAGGAAAAACGAUGAAACGAAAAGCCACAUUUGGCUCACAGGGAUCUGGGAAUUGGAACAUCUAUAGAAGAUGUUGGGGUGCCUUACCUACAUGCCCAGGGAGUUGGGGCAUUUCCAAAUCCAUAUUAGUGCCAAUAACAUCUUAACUCUUUUCCCAGGGAGCAAAGAGCAAGCAGGCUGUGCAAAUAAGACAUAGCAGGCCUCAGCCAGCUAUCCUUAGAAAAGCCUACUGAUAAGGUAGGCCCCUGGCUGGUAUCUGUGAACUUGGAUUUCGGGAGUGCUCCCACCAUUCCUGGAAUUGAUAAGAAUGACUAUCUAGACUCCUUGCACAAACAGUGGGGUUCAUGCUGAAUACCUGCUUCCUUCUGAGAGACUGGAAUUUGGGUACUUGCUCGGCAGAAGCUGCCACCUGACUGUCCCCCAAUAAAAACCUGCCUGUCUCUAACGAGCUUCCCUCUUCAAUAAUAUUUCACUUGUGUUGUUACAACUUGUUGCUGGAGGAAUGAAACGUGUCCUGUGUGACUCCACUAGGAGAGGACUUUUAGAAGCUUGGGCCUACGGGCCUACUGGCCUACUUUCCUUCGGAAAUCACCCCCAUGUGCCUUUUCCCCUUGCUGAUGAAUCCUAGCCAUGAGCACAGCUGUGUGCUGAAUCCUGCGGGGGCCCCCUAAGAAAUCAUUGGGUCUGGGAGUGAUCUAUAAUAUUAAC